CCUACGGGAGGCAGCAGUGAGGAAUAUUGGUCAAUGGGCGGAAGCCUGAACCAGCCAAGUAGCGUGCAGGAUGACUGCCCUACGGGUUGUAAACUGCUUUUAUACGGGAAUAACGCGCCUUACGUGUAGGGCUUUGCAUGUACCUUAUGAAUAAGGACCGGCUAAUUCCGUGCCAGCAGCCGCGGUAAUACGGAGGGUCCGGGCGUUAUCCGGAUUUAUUGGGUUUAAAGGGUGCGUAGGCCGCAUGUCAAGCGUGCUGUGAAAUGUCCGGGCUCAACCCCCGCAUUGCAGUGCGAACUGGAGUGCUUGAGUGCGCGAGAAGCAGGCGGAAUUAGUGGUGUAGCGGUGAAAUGCUUAGAUAUGACGAAGAACCCCGAUUGCGAAGGCAGCUUGCUGCAGCGGAACUGACGCUGAUGCUCGAAAGCGCGGGUAUCGAACAGGAUUAGAUACCCGAGUAGUC
This 460-nucleotide ribosomal RNA is filed under the name uncultured bacterium. RNAcentral's name for it is "partial 16S ribosomal RNA". It matches the Rfam family "Bacterial small subunit ribosomal RNA", at positions 338 to 795 of the family's 1533-position model. The record is from RNAcentral.